AGGAUGAAUGCUGGCGGCAUGCCUAAUACAUGCAAGUCGAGCGGUAACAGGACUAGCUUGCUAGUUGCUGACGAGCGGCGGACGGCUGAGUAACGCAUGGGAACGCACCCAAACUGAGGGAUAACUAGUCGAAAGAUUAGCUAAUACCGCAUGUGAUCUUCGGAUUAAAGCCUUCGGGCGGUUUGGGAGCGGCCUGUGUACGAUUAGAUAGUUGGUGAGGUAAUGGCUCACCAAGUCGACGAUCGUUAGAUGGUUUGAGAGGAUGAUCAUCCAGACUGGAACUGAGACACGGUCCAGACUCCUACGGGAGGCAGCAGUAGGGAAUCUUUCACAAUGGGCGAAAGCCUGAUUGGAGCAAUGCCGCGUGCAGGACGAAGGCCUUCGGGUUGUAAACUGCUUUUAUAAGCGAGGAAUAUGACGGUAACUUAUGAAUAAGGAUCGGCUAACUACGUGCCAGCAGCGGC
This 464-nucleotide ribosomal RNA is filed under the name uncultured bacterium. RNAcentral's name for it is "bacterial SSU rRNA". It matches the Rfam family "Bacterial small subunit ribosomal RNA", at positions 26 to 518 of the family's 1533-position model. The record is from RNAcentral.